Molecule: ribosomal RNA, 253 nt
Filed under: uncultured bacterium
Lineage: Bacteria
Description: partial 16S ribosomal RNA
Rfam family: Bacterial small subunit ribosomal RNA
Source: RNAcentral
UACAGAGGUUUCAAGCGUUGUUCGGAUUCAUUGGGCGUAAAGGGUGCGUAGGCGGCGCGGUAAGUCGGGUGUGAAAUCUCGGGGCUUAACUCCGAAACUGCAUUCGAUACUGCCGUGCUUGAGGACUGGAGAGGAGACUGGAAUUUACGGUGUAGCGGUGAAAUGCGUAGAUAUCAGGAGGAACACCGGUGGCGAAGGCGGUUCUCUGGGCAUUACCUGACGCUGAGGAGCGAAAGUGUGGGGAGCGAACAGG